GUGGCUGCAUGAUUUAGGCGGGAUUCAAUCCCAGGAGUGCUUUUAGUGACACGUGACUAAAACUUUGAUUGGAGCGACUACUGUCUGUUCUUGCAUUGGACAUGUACGAAUCACGUGGUGCAAAUAAGAACGCGUGUCUGUGGCAGUGCAGGAGCAGUCAGUCAUACCCCCUUUCCUCAGCAAAUGAGUGACCUACUGAUCUUAGCGUUCGGACACAACUGUUUGUUUCGAUGUUUUUCUCAUUGGAGAUAAAGCGACCCUGCGGUCCCACACUUUUGAGGUACUGUAUAUUACCAAACUGAAUACCAUAUGUCAGCAGAUCUGCAACCUGUCACAGACUGGUAUUAUACAUCUUCAAGUUUAAACAACAGCUGCUCUUAAGUAAAAAUCUAUGGUUUCUAUGAGGAUGAUGCUACAAAAUCUGUGAUGAUGGUGCACUGCCUCUCCAGAGCAGGGUCGCAGGGAAACUGGAGCCUAUCCCAGUAUGCACCAGGAGCAAGGCAGGAACACACCCUGGACAGAGCAUUGACAAAUCACAAGGUACUCCAGUUUCCUACCAUGUCCCACAAUCAUGCAAGUUGGAUGUUUCAUUGGUGAUUUUAACUUGACCUAAUGUGACAGGACAGUAGAUGGGUGGUUAAAGAAGGGUUGCCUGUGAUUGAUUGACCUUUUGUCAGGGGUUCAUUACUGCUUUGACAAAUGUUAUCAAAACAGGUGGAGGUUAAAUACAAGCCUAUGUAAUAAUGUGUUGUAGAAAAUGAACAAAUGAAUAUUCUUCUGUUAAAUAAAAUAUCCAUUAAGUUCCAUACCCAUCACAAAACAUAUAAUACUUAACUUUAUUGCUAAAUAAAAUUGUUUAUCUUGUAAUAAUGAAUUCUAAAAUAAUUACAUAACUACAAAUUCCCAAGAAAAUUUGAUUGAGGCCAUUUUUGAAAGUAAAAGAAUAACCAAUCAUAAUUAAGUUAAAACUCAUCAUCAUGCAAUAUUUUUAAUGCAAAAAUUAUUGUGCUAAUUUCAGUCCUGAAACAGGAUUUAUAUUUUUAUAAUGUGACCCACACUACUCCUGUCUUUUAAAUGCCUUAUUCAAUACCUCUUGCAACAAUCUGGAGAAAACUGAACAUCAGUUCAAUGAAUAUUUAUGGAAGUCAGUUUUCAAACAAUAUGACAAAGCACAGUUUUGCUUUUAUUGCGAUUACAACAAUAUCAUCAUAAUGAAAAAGAACUAUUCAUUUGCAGUUUAAGAACUGUAUUCAGAAUAAAACAUUUACAUUCUUCCUCAACUUUACAAACCACCUAAAUUAUAUGUAUUUGAUUCAAUUUUUUCAACAUUAUACCUCCCACAGAAUCUCACUUUUUACUAACAAAAAUUGAUUAAAGAGAUGACUGAAAAAUAUGUAACAAACAAGGACAUGUAAGUUGUCUUUUGUAGUAAAGCACAAAAAAACUCUUGAGGACCCUUUC
Molecule: long non-coding RNA, 1461 nt
Organism: Erpetoichthys calabaricus (reedfish)
Lineage: Eukaryota; Metazoa; Chordata; Cladistia; Polypteriformes; Polypteridae
Exons: 4
Source: RefSeq, a predicted model, not a curated record